GUGAGGGAUGACGGCCUUCGGGUUGUAAACCUCUUUCAGCAGGGAAGAAGCCACAAGUGACGGUACCUGCAGAAGAAGCGCCGGCUAACUACGUGCCAGCAGCCGCGGUAAUACGUAGGGCGCAAGCGUUGUCCGGAAUUAUUGGGCGUAAAGAGCUCGUAGGCGGUUUGUCGCGUCUGCUGUGAAAGCCCGGGGCUUAACCCCGGGUGUGCAGUGGGUACGGGCAGACUAGAGUGCAGUAGGGGAGACUGGAAUUCCUGGUGUAGCGGUGGAAUGCGCAGAUAUCAGGAGGAACACCGAUGGCGAAGGCAGGUCUCUGGGCUGUUACUGACGCUGAGGAGCGAAAGCAUGGGGAGCGAACAGGAUUAGAUACCCUGGUAGUCCAUGCCGUAAACGUUGGGCACUAGGUGUGGGGGACAUUCCACGUUUUCCGCGCCGUAGCUAACGCAUUAAGUGCCCCGCCUGGGGAGUACGGCCGCAAGGCUAAAACUCAAAGGAAUUGACGGGGGCCCGCACAAGCGGCGGAGCAUGCGGAUUAAUUCGAUGCAACGCGAAGAACCUUACCAAGGCUUGACAUAUACCGGAUCGUUCCAGAGAUGGUUCUUCCCCUUUGGGGUCGGUAUACAGGUGGUGCAUGGUUGUCGUCAGCUCGUGUCGUGAGAUGUUGGGUUAAGUCCCGCAACGAGCGCAACCCUCGUUCCAUGUUGCCAGCACGUGAUGGUGGGGACUCAUGGGAGACUGCCGGGGUCAACUCGGAGGAAGGUGGGGAUGACGUCAAAUCAUCAUGCCCCUUAUGUCUUGGGCUUCACGCAUGCUACAAUGGCCGGUACAAAGGGUUGCGAUACUGUGAGGUGGAGCUAAUCCCAAAAAGCCGGUCUCAGUUCGGAUUGAGGUCUGCAACUCGACCUCAUGAAGUCGGAGUCGCUAGUAAUCGCAGAUCAGCAACGCUGCGGUG
RNAcentral lists this ribosomal RNA (955 nucleotides) under Kocuria palustris. RNAcentral's name for it is "bacterial SSU rRNA". It matches the Rfam family "Bacterial small subunit ribosomal RNA", at positions 401 to 1364 of the family's 1533-position model. The record is from RNAcentral. Lineage: Bacteria; Bacillati; Actinomycetota; Actinomycetes; Micrococcales; Micrococcaceae.